UACGAAGGGGGCGAGCGUUGUUCGGAUUUACUGGGCGUAAAGGGCGCGCAGGCGGCUAUCCAAGUCAGGCGUGAAAGCCCCGGGCUUAACCUGGGAGGUGCGUCUGGGACUGGGUGGCUAGAGUUCGGGAGAGGAGAGUGGAAUUCCCAGUGUAGAGGUGAAAUUCGUAGAUAUUGGGAAGAACACCGGUGGCGAAGGCGGGUCUCUGGGCCGUAACUGACGCUGAGGAGCGAAAGCGUGGGGAGCGAACAGG
This 253-nucleotide ribosomal RNA is filed under the name uncultured bacterium. RNAcentral's name for it is "partial 16S ribosomal RNA". It matches the Rfam family "Bacterial small subunit ribosomal RNA", at positions 524 to 776 of the family's 1533-position model. The record is from RNAcentral.